This 379-nucleotide unclassified non-coding RNA is filed under the name fungal sp. RNAcentral describes it as "partial internal transcribed spacer region". The stretch from base 1 to 46 matches the Rfam family "Eukaryotic small subunit ribosomal RNA", at positions 1786 to 1831 of the family's 1831-position model. The record is from RNAcentral. Lineage: Eukaryota; Fungi.
AAGUCGUAACAAGGUUUCCGUAGGUGAACCUGCGGAAGGAUCAUUAACACUAACUUUCUUAUCAACCUAGGUGCAUCCGUCUGAACCUUUUAAUUCAGAGGUCGACUAGACAAUGGUUGGAUUCGGUCUAGUCUGCUGUUAAGUUAGCCCGUCUUCUUCGGAAGGCGAUCGGUCUGACGCUCUGUCUUAGAAGGCAUACAGUCUCAACCAUGGCUGGCCCCAUUUUUUUUUUUAAACCUUUGAAUCUUGUACUGAUUUGGGCUUCAGAUCGAGAGGAGUAAUUCAGAUCGAGAGGAGUAAUCCUUUCUCUAAGCUUUUGAUGGAGUCAUCCAUUCAAUUAACCAAAACACAACUCUUAACAGUGGAUAUCUCGGUUCUC